RNAcentral lists this ribosomal RNA (468 nucleotides) under Abiotrophia defectiva. RNAcentral's name for it is "bacterial SSU rRNA". It matches the Rfam family "Bacterial small subunit ribosomal RNA", at positions 28 to 474 of the family's 1533-position model. The record is from RNAcentral. Lineage: Bacteria; Bacillati; Bacillota; Bacilli; Lactobacillales; Aerococcaceae.
GACGAACGCGGCGGCGUGCCUAAUACAUGCAAGUCGAACGAACCGCGACUGAGUGCUUGCACUUGGUCAAGGUGAGUGGCGAACGGGUGAGUAACACGUGGGUAACCUACCUCAUAGUGGGGGAUAACAGUCGGAAACGACUGCUAAUACCGCAUAGGACAUGGGAUCACAUGAUUCUGUGAGGAAAGGUGGCGCAAGCUAUCGCUAAGAGAUGGACCCGCGGUGCAUUAGCUAGUUGGUAGGGUAACGGCCUACCAAGGCGAUGAUGCAUAGCCGACCUGAGAGGGUGAUCGGCCACAUUGGGACUGAGACACGGCCCAAACUCCUACGGGAGGCAGCAGUAGGGAAUCUUCCGCAAUGGACGCAAGUCUGACGGAGCAACGCCGCGUGAGUGAAGAAGGUCUUCGGAUCGUAAAGCUCUGUUGUUAGAGAAGAACAGCGCAUAGAGUAACUGUUAUGCGUGUGACG